This 266-nucleotide ribosomal RNA is filed under the name uncultured archaeon. RNAcentral describes it as "partial 16S ribosomal RNA". It matches the Rfam family "Archaeal small subunit ribosomal RNA", at positions 748 to 1009 of the family's 1478-position model. The record is from RNAcentral.
CAGCCGUAAACUAUGCGCGUUAGGUGUAUCGGUGACCACGAGUUACCGAGGUGCCGAAGGGAAACCGUGAAACGUGCCGCCUGGGAAGUACGGUCGGCAAGGGCUGAAACUUAAAGGAAUUAGGCGGGGGGAGCACCGACAACAGGUGGAGCCUGCGGUUUAAUUGGACUCAACGCCGGGAAGCUCACCGGAUAGGACAGCAGAAUGAUUGCCGGGCUGAAGACUCUGCAUGACUAGCUGAGAGGAGGUGCAUGGCGUAGACGUCU